RNAcentral lists this transfer RNA (79 nucleotides) under Sphaerodactylus townsendi. RNAcentral describes it as "tRNA-Pro". The record is from RNAcentral. Lineage: Eukaryota; Metazoa; Chordata; Lepidosauria; Squamata; Sphaerodactylidae.
ACCAGAGUGGCGUAGUGGUUAGAGUACUGGACUAGGAUCUCGGAGACCCAGGUUUGAAUCCUGACUGUCUUGAUGGGUG